RNAcentral lists this unclassified non-coding RNA (1537 nucleotides) under Hevea brasiliensis (rubber tree). Lineage: Eukaryota; Viridiplantae; Streptophyta; Magnoliopsida; Malpighiales; Euphorbiaceae. The record is from RNAcentral.
CUCUUAACCACGUGACUGGUGGUUACAUGUCUACUAGUAUGGUUAGGCCAAGUUCAAGGCCAUUAGAAGAGGCAAUUCCCGCCAAAAAAGCACACAUACACACGUGUGUGCCAUGCACCCCUAGAGCAUGUGCACACAAACCACUCUCAAAAUCUAUAAACAUAUAUCAUAUCAUGUGUUGACAGAGCCAUGUUAUUAUUUUCUUUUCUUUGGAGUUUCUUCCCAUCAAAAGACGGAGCGAUGAAAAUGAUGGCGGCCAAGAUAAGAGAAGCUUGGUAGCUUUCCUUGUUUUCUAUGAACAGCUCAAACUUCUAAGUUCAAUCCAUUAUUUUCGCUUACCCAUUUGAUUUUCUUUGCCCCUUAAGGUCCCACCAUCUCCUUCCUUUCAUUCUACAAUCGAUGCUGUCAUUGAAUUUCAUCACCCCACUUCUUUCACACUCUAUGACUACUAUUUAAAACAUAAGCUUUCUCUCUCUUCUCCUAACUUUCUCACACAAAAAUAUUAAGGUAACAAAUCCCCCUCCCUUGGGAAUCUGCAAUGCCAUUAAUAAUCAAUGGCAAACCCCACCAAAAAAAAUUAAUAAAUCUCCAAACUCACCAAACUCUACCUCACACAUAUAUACACAAAAUAAUCUACAUAUCAAUCGUCUCAAUUUGCCCUCAAAACGCUCCAAGAAAAUAUUUUUGAGGAUUCUAUAUAACUUGGACCACCAUUAUUUUCUUUCCUUUAUUUUUUUUUCUCCUUUUUUCCUUCCAUUUUUUAUAUCCUCUUUGCCAUCACUCGGAGUUUCCUUUGUCAUCAUCCGUCCAUAAGCAGUUAUUUAAUUUUCUCCUUUUAUGAGAUGAUGAUGAGGAAGAAGAUGAAGAUGGAGAAGAAGAUGAGUCACUGGACCUCAUUCUAGCCCGGAUUGUUACUCUAAGCAGCGGUAAGACUUUUGGGGGUUUCCUCCGGCUGUUGUCAAGCACAAGAUCUUGCAUUAAGCGGUAGCAGCUGAUGAUGUUUUCUUUGCUUAGCCCAUCACACCACGAUUCAGCAUGUUCAGGAUUAAAAAGAGACAAGUUUGGUAUUUCAUUGGCUGCACAAAGUAUGGCUGCGGCAGCAAUGCUUGAUGGCCAAUACUCAAGAAAACUCGCUUCUUUCAUAUUAGAUAAAAUGAUUUCCGUGGCCCUUGAAAUCAGAAACCCAAUGUAAGUUCCCGUUGAAUCGAUCUUGCAUGCGAAGAAACCAAGAAAGCUAAAUGGUGUUAUGGAUCGUAGCCUCCAAUCCAACACACUGAGAACGAGAAGUUCCAUUCUGCGGAUUGUUCUGGGUUCGAAGAUAUAUUUGGCACCUUCAAACUGGAGAUCCAAUAGAGAAGGAACCAGAGCUUCCUCCAUCUUAGCUGCUACUGACAAGCAAGCAACGGAUAAAAGGUGCAUUGGCCAUCCAUUUGCUUGCGGCAAUGGACGGGAAUAAAGGAACCGAUCCAAAUAGUUGACGGACAGAUAAGCCGUCAAUGGCUGGAAUCUAUAGUAUGCUUGCACCUGAAAAAACGAA